This 4539-nucleotide long non-coding RNA is filed under the name Salmo salar (Atlantic salmon). RNAcentral's name for it is "lncRNA (ENSSSAG00000084222.1)". Lineage: Eukaryota; Metazoa; Chordata; Actinopteri; Salmoniformes; Salmonidae. The record is from RNAcentral.
GUGACUGUGUGUGUGCUAUGUGCUUGUGUAAUCUCAUCUCUGUCUAAACCGGUCUUUCAGGGAAUACUGCAAGCGUUUGCACAUCUCUGACAACAACACACAGUUCCUGGAGAACUUCCUGUCUCUCAUGGUGGAGAUCACACCAGAAUCUGAAGACUGUGAGUUUCUCCUCUGUGUGUCUGUAUCUUGUAUUAUUAAGGGCCAUGCCAUUAACCCUACAACAGGUCUGUUGAACCGCUGAACAUUAUAUGGAAGGACACUUGAGGCACAAAGCAUUCUUUUGGGCAGUGUGCAAUGUGAGUUUUUCACCUGUGAUAUUUUACAAAGACUGACAGGUUACUUUAAUUGUGUGUGUGUGUGCGCAUGUGUAUCAUCACAGGUGAUCAAAGACUCAUUCAUAACCUGAUUUUGGAUUCUGGAAUCAUCUGGCAGCUAGCAUCUAGAGUGUGGAAGAACAAGGAUAUCCAAACAUCCGCAAACAGAUGAUUGAUGGCAGACCGGGUGAUAUGCGGAUUAAGACGCUUGUUAAGUCAAUUGAUGAGAUAAGUGAUCGAUACAUAGAUGUAGCACUUUGAGGUUACUGCUGGACCCCCAUCAAUGAUACAGACUACAGUCUGGUCCUGGUACUACUGACCAACAAUGAAUCCAGGCAGACCUGAGUGAUGUGAUGCUGCAGCUCCAGUAUCUUCAAUCUCUGCUGCCCAGCUCCUUUGAAUCAGGGGGACACGGGCUCCUGGCUCCCAGGGAAUAGUCAAGCGUUUGCACAUCUCGGACAACAACACACAGUUCCUGGAGAACUUCCUGUCUCUCAUGGUGGAGAUCACACCAGAAUCUGAACUCUAUGAGUUUCUCAUCUGUGUGUCUGUAUCUUGUAUUAUUAAGGGCCAUGCCAUUAACCCUACACCAGGUGAUCAAAGCGUCAUUCAUAACCUGAUUUUGGAUUCUGGAAUCAUCUGGCAGCCAACAUCUGGAGUGUGGAAGAACAAGGAUAUCAAAACGUGAGUGAACUCAUCACAUAAUCAAAUAAAAUGAUAUUUGUCACGUGCGCCGAAUACAACAGGUGUAGAUCUUACAGUGAAAUGCUUACUUACAAGCCCUUAACCAACAAUGCAGUUUUAAGAAAAAUACCCCCCCAAAAUGUAAAAAUUUAAAAUAGAAAUAAAAGUGACAAAUAAUUAAAGAGCAGCAGUAAAAUAACAAUAGCGAGGCUAUAUACAGGGGUACCAGUACAGAGUCAAUGUGCGGGGGCACCGGUUAGUCAAGGUAAUAGGUACAUGUAGGUAGAGUUAUUAAAGUGACUAUGAAUAGAUAAUAAACAGAGAGUAGCAACCAUUUGAUUAGAUGUUCAGGAGUCUUUUGGCUUGGGGGUAGAAGCUGUUUAGAAGCCUCUUGGACCGAGACUUGGUGCUCCGGUCCCGCUUGCCAUGCGGUAGCAAAGAGAACAGUGUAGAACGUUUUGAGGAUCUGAGGACACAUGCCAAAUCUUUUCAGUCUCCUGAGGGGGAAUAGGUUUUGUCGUGCCCUCUUCACAACUGUCUUGGUGUGCUUGGACCAUGUUAGUUUGUUGGUGAUGUGGACACCAAGGAACUUGAAGCUCUCAACCUGCUCCACUACAGCCCUGUCAAUGAGAAUGGGGGCAUGCUAGGUCCUCUUUUUCCUGUAGUCCACAAUCAUCUCCUUUGUCUUGAUCACGUCGAGGGAGUGGUUAGAGAGAAUACAGCAGACGGUUUGUGUUCAAAGAUGAUUGAUGACCUAUUUUAUGUGUCACGUAGUUAUGCCCAUAUAUGUACAUCCUGUCCUUCCGUUCUCACGCUAUCGAGUGAGUUCUUAUGUAACCUGAUAGUUCAUCUGUUUAUGGUAAAGCAUGUGUUUGCAUUAAAGUUGUCAAGAUGAUUGAUGUGUAGUGACCUUGUUGAACUAUGGAAUGUGUUUGAACAUUUUAAAGAGUAGAGUAGUGUCUCUUCUGUUUAUGAUGAUGUAUAUGAAACAGUAAUUUCCGGGGGGUAGGGUAUUGGUCAGUAUAAGUAAAGAGCUGUGAACACUACGAGCGACACGAAGCCUCGAGAGAGAUAAACCACUGAAGACUCUAAAGAAGAAAGAAAUAAAACAUGGCUCCUAGACCAAUUUUAGGUGUAUUGUGAUUUAACUACAAUGAAUGAAAUCCCUUUCUCUCUCUCUCUCUCUGUGUGUGUGUGUGUGUGUGUGUGUGUGUGUGUGUGUGUGUGUGUGUGUGUGUGUGUGUGUGUGUGUGUGUGUGUGUGUGUGUGUGUGUGUGUGUGUGUGUGUGUGUGUGUGUGUGGACAAGGAUCUGUAGCGGGGUUGUGUGUGGGAGGUCGUUCGGUUAGAAGCAGAGAAACAUGCUGAUAACAUUAUUUUCUAAGAAAGGAAUUAAAGAAGAAUUAUACAUGUAAACAUUUAAAGGAUAUAAAUGGCAUUUAUGUAUUCAUUUUUGAGUUUGCAACCCAAUGUGACACUUUGAAUACAUCACAGAAGACUGAAAUGUAACAUAACACAUAUUGUGUUUAUUGAGAUGUACACUGAGAUGCUCAUUUGGGCAAUAUUCCCCUCCAGUGAUUCCCCAACAUCUUGUCAACAUGGGACCCAAAAAUGGAGCAGAUAUCAUAUACCAACAUAUCUUUAUAGACAUGUAUCCAUAACAAGGCUUAGGAGGCCCUUAUAGUGUCCAAAAAUGUCUCUAAAAUGUCACAUAUUUUAAACAUCUUCAUUUUCAUGCAUACAACUUGUCAACAAGUAUUUUUAUGACCAAAUGCACAUUCUUUAGUGUAGACAUACAUUUUUUAUGAUUUCAUGACUGUUUGGUAGUAGAUCCCUGAAUGGUCAGAAAUCUGUUCAAAUAGAAGUAUGUUUGUAGCACAAAAUAUCUUACAGGUAGGGCCUCUUUCACUCUCUCAACAUGUAACAAGCUGACAGGCUCCCAGAGGCAGGGUCCCAGCUCACUCAACUGCCCCUCCCCUCUCCAACAGCCAUCAGCCUAGAACAGCAUGAAGAUGGAACUGCUAAAAGAUCAUCUAUGUAAGGGCUUUGAUAGUCGCGUUGCAGGAAUGAGGCGCAGGAAGCAACGAACACAGGGAGUGGUGUUUUUAAUAACACUGAAGCAAAAACAAAGUUCCCAAGCACAGGGGAAUAAACACAAUGAGCGACAAUGCAAAGCCGACACGAACAAGAAGUCGACAUACAAUAAUCAAUCCCGCACAACAAGGAGCGGGCCAGCUAAACUAAAUAGCCCCUCUAAUGGCUAAUUGACCACAGGUGUCCAAAAGCAAAAAAAGGGAAAAGCAAAAGGGAAUCGGUGGCAGCUAAUAGGCCGGUGACGACGACCGCCGAGCGCCACCCGAGCAGGAGGGGGCGCCACCGUCGGUGGGAAUCGUGACAAUCUAGGAAUCCUCCCUUCCUCGUGGAGCUUUUUGAAGGCUAUGAAAAAAGACAAAAGACAUGACAUUGACUCCUGAGUGUUGAACUUUUGCCCACUCUGUAGCCUCCCUGGUUAUUAUAUGACCCUGAUGGUCAUCUACGAUUGUUGGAACGUCUUUAAUAACAAUAAGGGGCAUAUGUACUCUUAAAUGUCCACUCAGCACAGCCCUCGGAGCAUGGUUCCUCUCUAGUUUUAAUCCUAGGUUUAUGACUUCUAGGGAGUGUUUCCUAGAUGCUGUGAAUCGGCAUAUGCAUUGAUGGGUCUUAGAUUUUUAGACUGGGUAUCUGUAAAACACUGACAACUGCUGAUGCAAAAAGGGGUUUUAAGAAAUACAUUUGGUUGAUUGAAAGAUUUGUAUUAUUAUCAAAAUAAUAUAACAAUAGUAUUAUUAUAAUCAUAAUCUUUAUUAUUAUUAUGUUACAGGUGUGACAUACCCAGAAAUGUCAACGUCUUGUCAAGUGCUCAAAUCUGUACAGCAGCCCCAGACAAUCAUGUACAGUAGGUCCAAUUUACAAGAAUGGGUUUACAAGGCAGUGAUGAAAACAGUUUAUAUGAGCGCUAAUUCAAACAUACAAUGAUAUAUAUUCGAUACAAUUACCCAUUCAAAACUAGUGUUACAAAAUCACUUCUCAUUGUGUUCAUUUCAAGGUUUCACAAACAUAAAACAACUAUCUAGUUAAUGUUUCUUGGACUAACACACUGUUGAGUUUCCUAUUUACUGAAGAACAAUCAUUAAGACAAAACACAAAAAGUUGUAAUGUAAUCUGUAUACAUGUCAUUCUAUACUGAAAACAGGUACAUUCUGAAAGAUUUUGAUGAUGUUGAUGUGAUAACACAUCUUUUUAUUCAUGUCUCAAUUUAGGAUAAUAGUGUUUAUUUUAAUUUUACUUAAAUUGUAUUAUUUAUGUUGUCUCAUACCAUGCUAAUACACUACCAAGCAAUGCAAACAGAUGUGGAAUUUACCCCAUAACAGUUGUGUCUUUUUGGAUCAAGAAUUGAUCAAGAAUUCCAAUAGGCGUGAUCAGAUCCUCUUUCCAUGCAGGCAUCAUAUAAUGCACAGCCACAUGCAAAUCCAUAAACUCCACCAAUAAAACAUUGAAAACCUU